Molecule: non-coding RNA, 2294 nt
Organism: Odocoileus virginianus texanus
Lineage: Eukaryota; Metazoa; Chordata; Mammalia; Artiodactyla; Cervidae
Source: RefSeq, a predicted model, not a curated record
GUAUUAGUAGGGGGGGGAGGGCUCUUUAUCUCCAGGGUCCUGGGUCACCGCGUCCCUACCCAGCUCAGACUCCCGGAGCAUCACCGGAGACGCUCUAGGAUUGGAAGUUGUUAUGGCAACGAAGCUCUCAGAAUACUGAGGAAAGCCGAAGCCUAGAGAGGCGACACCCUCUUAUACCCUCUUCGGCCCCACGAGUAAAGUGGCGCCCCCUACGCACAGGAACCGUGCUUGGGCCCCCGCCCCGGCACGGAGACCACCCUGGACCUCCGGGGGCGGGAGGCCGCUCUGGCCCGAAGCGGAGCCUCUCACUGGUAGACGGGCCCGAGGGAGCCCCUCUGGGCGCAGCGCCGCUGAGCUGCUCGAUGCUCCGACCGGAAGUGCUCUUCACCGCCGACCUCCCACCCGGCUCUCUGGUCCCGGCGGUAAGAUGGCGGCUGCCGCGGAGUGCGAUGUGGUAAUGGCGGCGACCGAGCCAGAGCUGCUAGACGAUGAGGAGGCGAAGAGAGAAGCAGAGUCUUUCAAGGAACAAGGAAAUGCCUACUAUGCCAAGAAAGAUUACAAUGAAGCUUAUAACUAUUAUACAAAAGCCAUAGAUAUGUGUCCUAAAAAUGCUAGCUAUUAUGGGAAUCGAGCCGCCACCUUGAUGAUGCUCGGAAAGUUCCGGGAAGCUCUCGGGGAUGCACAGCAGUCAGUGAGGUUGGAUGACAGUUUCGUCCGGGGACAUCUACGAGAAGGCAAAUGCCACCUAUCUCUAGGGAAUGCCAUGGCGGCGUGUCGUAGUUUCCAGAGAGCCCUAGAACUGGAUCAUAAAAAUGCUCAGGCCCAGCAGGAGUUCAAGAAUGCGAAUGCAGUCAUAGAAUAUGAGAAAAUAGCAGAAACGGAUUUUGAGAAGCGGGAUUUUCGGAAGGUUGUUUUUUGCAUGGACCGUGCCCUAGAAUAUGCCCCUGCCUGCCAUCGCUUCAAAAUCCUCAAAGCAGAAUGUUUAGCAAUGCUGGGUCGUUACCCAGAAGCACAGUCUGUGGCCAGUGACAUUUUACGAAUGGAUUCCACCAAUGCCGAUGCUCUGUAUGUACGAGGUCUUUGCCUUUAUUAUGAAGAUUGUAUUGAGAAGGCGGUUCAGUUUUUUGUACAGGCUCUCAGGAUGGCUCCUGACCAUGAGAAGGCCUGCGUUGCUUGCAGAAAUGCCAAAGCACUUAAAGCAAAGAAAGAAGAUGGGAAUAAAGCAUUUAAAGAAGGAAAUUACAAGCUAGCAUAUGAACUGUACACAGAAGCCCUGGGGAUAGACCCCAACAAUAUAAAAACAAAUGCUAAACUCUACUGUAAUCGGGGUACGGUUAAUUCCAAGCUUAGGAAACUAGAUGAUGCAAUAGAAGACUGCACAAAUGCAGUGAAGCUCGAUGACACGUAUAUAAAAGCCUACUUGAGAAGAGCUCAGUGGUGGGAUUGUUCCAGCCCUAGAGCUAUCUUUAUAGACCUCCAGCGGAGGAGAUUGCACAAGCUCCCUCAGUCUCCCAUGCCUGUGUCUUACGCCCCUCACGUUACUUGGACACAGAACAGUAUGAAGAAGCAGUACGGGACUAUGAAAAAGUAUAUCAGACGGAGAAAACAAAAGAACACAAACAGCUCCUUAAAAAUGCACAGUUAGAACUGAAGAAGAGUAAGAGGAAAGAUUACUACAAGAUUCUUGGUGUAGACAAGAAUGCCUCUGAGGACGAGAUCAAGAAAGCCUACCGGAAGCGGGCCUUGAUGCACCAUCCAGAUCGGCACAGUGGAGCCAGUGCCGAAGUUCAGAAGGAGGAGGAGAAAAAGUUCAAGGAAGUCGGAGAAGCUUUUACCAUUCUCUCUGAUCCCAAGAAAAAGACUCGCUAUGACAGUGGACAAGACCUUGAUGAAGAGGGCAUGAAUAUGGGUGAUUUUGACGCAAACAAUAUCUUCAAGGCAUUCUUUGGCGGUCCUGGGGGCUUCAGCUUUGAAGCUUCUGGUCCAGGGAAUUUCUUUUUUCAGUUUGGCUAAUGAAAGGACACCACCCAGAAUCCAGAAAAUGCAGACUUGCUCAGUUUAACCUCGAAUGUGGACACAAUUCACCUCCUCCCUUCAUCACGUCUCCACGUCCUUAGAGCAGUUUCGUUUUCUCAGUUGGAUACCCUGUGUCUGUGUGAGUGGGGUGAAGGAAAGGGAGCCAGCGCCGAAGACUGCGGGGAGGGGAGGGAGGCGGGGGGCGGACAGGGCAGCUUGUGAAUUUUUGUUUUACUGUUUAACUUUAUUAAAAAAGAAAAAAAAAUAAGAGAAUAAAA